Molecule: long non-coding RNA, 305 nt
Organism: Rhagoletis pomonella (apple maggot)
Lineage: Eukaryota; Metazoa; Arthropoda; Insecta; Diptera; Tephritidae
Exons: 2
Source: RefSeq, a predicted model, not a curated record
GCAGCGUUCAUGCUGACAUUUAAAAGCACAUUAAGCAAUUUCGAACAUUGGUUUUUCGAAGAGUGUUCACGGUGCCGCAUUUAGUUAAUGUUCUGUCUGUUCUUGUACAAAAACGUGCAAGUUGUCAUUUGGGAGUACAUCCACUUGGAACUUCCUACUAACGAAAGAACCUGUGCGAGAAUCGAGCUAGCACGUUUUGGGAAGUCGAGUGUCAAUGCUGCGGAAAUGAUUUCUUCAAGCAAAACUUUAGAUUGAAAAGACGGGCUUUCCAGAAAUUGUGUAGCUUUCUGGAUCACAUUAAAAAG